Molecule: microRNA, 23 nt
Filed under: Homo sapiens (human)
Lineage: Eukaryota; Metazoa; Chordata; Mammalia; Primates; Hominidae
Description: hsa-miR-3185
Source: miRBase by way of RNAcentral
AGAAGAAGGCGGUCGGUCUGCGG